RNAcentral lists this ribosomal RNA (420 nucleotides) under Lysinibacillus boronitolerans. Its description in RNAcentral is "bacterial SSU rRNA". It matches the Rfam family "Bacterial small subunit ribosomal RNA", at positions 1026 to 1448 of the family's 1533-position model. Lineage: Bacteria; Bacillati; Bacillota; Bacilli; Caryophanales; Bacillaceae. The record is from RNAcentral.
CAACGGCGACAGGUGGUGCAUGGUUGUUGUCAGCUCGUGUCGUGAGAUGUUGGGUUAAGUCCUGCAACGAGCGCAACCCUUGAUCUUAGUGGCCAUCAUUUAGUUGGGCACUUUAAGGUGACUGCCGGUGACAAACCGGAGGAAGGUGGGGAUGACGUCAAAUCAUCAUGCCCCUUAUGACCUGGGCUACACACGUGCUACAAUGGACGAUACAAACGGUUGCCAACUCGCGAGAGGGAGCUAAUCCGAUAAAGUCGUUCUCAGUUCGGAUUGUAGGCUGCAACUCGCCUACAUGAAGCCGGAAUCGCUAGUAAUCGCGGAUCAGCAUGCCGCGGUGAAUACGUUCCCGGGCCUUGUACACACCGCCCGUCACACCACGAGAGUUUGUAACACCCGAAGUCGGUGGGGUAACCUUUGGAG